UCAGUGUUUUCAUUUGAGAUCAAUGCAAAGUCCCUCUUCAAAGCCAAUAUCUAUCUUAAUAGCCGUUUUAGACAUGUUGACGGUACAAAUGGACUUCUGGAAGCCAUCUCCAAUGUCAAACAGCUGUCUCUUUCAACUCGUAAUUUGGUGGGUGGUGUUCCUGCUUUUGAUAAUCUGAACCAUUUGGAACUGACUCUUUGCGGUUUCUCCUUUUGGGCGAUAUCUAACAGAGUUUCUCAAGAGAUCACGGAAUCUAGAAUAUCUUGUUAUCAAACAUUUAAGUUGUCAGCAUUGCGGAAUCGAGCAUGAGGUCUUUACCCCUCCGGAGUUUGUGCCUGUUUGUAUGUUGUCACAUCUCAAGACUAUCACGAUAGCAAACUUCAAGGGAAGUCAGGAUGAUAUGAGAAUAGCUCAGUAUUUGCUAAAGUACAGUGAAGUUUUGAAUAAGAUGAUUUUUACCAUUUCAGCAAGUCUUCCGAGAGCAGAAGAGAAGGCAUUGUACAAUGAAUUUUUAAUGUUCGAACGGGGUUCAAAAACUUGUCAAGUAGAGAUAUAUAACUAGGAUGCUCUUCUUGGUUUUACCAGGAUUUUAUGUUCAAAUGUAAUUCAAGAUUUUGGAAGGACUUUUCUUCAAAUG
Molecule: long non-coding RNA, 637 nt
Organism: Rosa rugosa (rugosa rose)
Lineage: Eukaryota; Viridiplantae; Streptophyta; Magnoliopsida; Rosales; Rosaceae
Exons: 3
Source: RefSeq, a predicted model, not a curated record